CCAAUAGCGUAUAUUAAAGUUGUUGCAGUUAAAAAGCUCGUAGUUGAAUUUCGGGGCCAGUAGGUUGGUCGUGCCACUGGUAUGCACUGGUCUCACUGGUCCCUCCUUCUUGUAGAACCGUGAUGGCAUUAAUUUGUUGUUGCGGGGAAACAGGACUGUUACUUUGAAAAAAUUAGAGUGCUUAAAGCAGGCUCGCGCUUGAAUACAUUAGCAUGGAAUAACGAAAUAGGACGAUCGAACCUAUUUUGUUGGUUUCUAGGUUCGACGUAAUGAUUAAUAGGGAUAGUUGGGGGCAUUAGUAUUCAAUUGUCAGAGGUGAAAUUCUUGGAUUUAUUGAAGACUAACUACUGCGAAAGCAUUUGCCAAGGAUGUUUUCAUUAAUCAAGAACGAAAGUUAGGGGAUCGAAGACGAUCAGAUACCGUCGUAGUCUUAACCAUAAACUAUGCCGACUAGGGAUCGGAUGAAGUUAAUUUUUUAAUGACUCAUUCGGCGCCUUACG
Molecule: ribosomal RNA, 500 nt
Filed under: uncultured Glomeromycotina
Lineage: Eukaryota; Fungi; Glomeromycota
Description: partial small subunit ribosomal RNA
Rfam family: Eukaryotic small subunit ribosomal RNA
Source: RNAcentral